UCCGACUAUACGCCGGCAGUCCCCUGUGAGAAUUCAACACAGGGCAGGGGUUGCGCUCGUUGCUGGACUUAACCAAACAGCUCACGCCACGAGCUGACGACAACCAUGCAACACCUGUCUAGCACCCUCGAAGGGGGCUCCUGUUUCCAGGAGCUUGCAGCUAGAUGUCAAGCCUAGGUAAGGUUCUUCGCUCUGCAUCGAAUUAAACCACAUGCUCCACCGCUUGUGCGGGUCCCCGUCAAUUCCUUUGAGUUUUAGCCUUGCGGCCGUACUUCCCAGGCGAGGUACUUAACGCGUUAGCUUACGACUCAGAGCGUGUCGAACGCCCCAAGCCUAGUACCCAUCGUUUACGGCGUGGACUA
Molecule: unclassified non-coding RNA, 362 nt
Filed under: uncultured bacterium
Lineage: Bacteria
Description: contains 16S-23S intergenic spacer region
Source: RNAcentral